RNAcentral lists this long non-coding RNA (319 nucleotides) under Olea europaea (common olive). Its description in RNAcentral is "long non-coding RNA (OEUR_LNC002147)". The record is from RNAcentral. Lineage: Eukaryota; Viridiplantae; Streptophyta; Magnoliopsida; Lamiales; Oleaceae.
ACAUUCGUCUAAUAAGGGGCUUCCGAUGCAGACUGGGACGAAAAUUUGUAGAUGCCACAAAUAAGAAGGAGAAGGCGGUUACUUAUACAGUUCACGGCUUCCCCAUUGCCAUGCAGGUACUACACACAAAUUUUGUACAACGUAUUCAUUAUUUCAUCAGAAAUGUAUUGUCAUUGGUUCCUUUAAUGUUCAACUCACAGUUACUAUCUGCUGUAACAGAUCUGGGCAUUCGAGGCAAUACCAGAAAUUGGGGAUAGGUUUGCUCGACGAUUGGGUCAUCAAUCCCCACGGCUUCUGAGUUGGACGUGUACCAAACAGU